Urocitellus parryii (Arctic ground squirrel) is the source of this 1249-nucleotide non-coding RNA. The record is from RefSeq and is a predicted model, not a curated record. Lineage: Eukaryota; Metazoa; Chordata; Mammalia; Rodentia; Sciuridae.
GUAGCGAGAAUGAGGCGGGGCUAGGCUAACAGGAGGCCAGGAUGAGCUAUGGAAUAGCAGAAUUACGGAGCGCUGAUCAGGACAAGUUUGGUCACGUGAUUCUCAUAGGAGUAUGCCGAUGCGAACCGUAAGGUGGAGGUUCAAGAAGGGAAAGUUUGAUUGGACUAAUUCAAGGGGAGAGGUUUGAAGAUUUAGGAAAUUGGGGCAGGUGGGGAAGGUAGAAAUUGCUAAAAUAUGAGUCUAGAUUGAUGAGUGCCCUAAAUGUCUCCGAAAGUCCCGUAGGGGAAUUUCCAGAAGCAGCUUCGGGUGUUCUACCUAAAAAUAAAAUGAAGAAAAAAUUGAAGUACCUUGUGUUCUAGCAAGCGAAUUUUAAAAAUUACAACGAACUCACUCGUUAAAAAAAUAAGGUUAGUUUUGUUUCCCGAAUGCGAACCAAAGUCAACUUUUUAAGACGGAUAUCAGCUGCUCCACGCUACACACUUCCUGUUCGGUUGCUGAAAUUGUGCAUCUGAAACACUGUUAAGAUUUGUCAGCAUAAUUUGAUUGGAUGAAGUUACCGGUUGGCUUUGGUUGGUCCAAAGCCAAAAGAACAAAGGUACAAAACUAGUCUUGAUUCUUGCUUGACAUGGGGCGCCACACCGGAUAACCAAGCCCAGAAAAUGAGCUGCUACACAACCUCAAAUACUUGAGGAUUUUCCCCACCUGAUACGACCAAGUACCACACAAAUUAUAAUAUAUAUAUCCCUGUGGAUACAAUGAGGACUAAGAAGAGACCUGAUUAUAUAAUCUACUUCUACCAAGACCAAUGCAUAUGAUAAAACGAGAAUAUUUGCUUGGGGCUGGUGGCAUAGCUUCAUGGUAGAGUGCUUACCUAGUGUGCUGAAGGUCCUGCACUUCAAUCCCCAACAUUGCAAAAGGAAAAAAAUGAUUAAAAGAAUGAUUGCCUGGGUGAGACCAGUGUAUUGCCAAAUCCACACCCAUGAUAAUGCAAAGAAAAGAAGGUGAAGCUGGGGAGCAAAGACCUACUGUAGAGUCUUAGAGCCACAGCACAGGCAACAUGGAAGAACGGGGCAAGUCAUUGGAAACCCUCUGUGAGCAGAGGCCUCAUUUUAAAAAUGAGUAGAGGUUACAUUUCAGAAUUUCAAACUUUCUGAUUUCCAGACAUUUACCAUUGUUUCCAAAUGUUUCAGAAUCCAUGUACAAAAUUGGUUGCCUUCAUAAUUCAGAAAUAUAAUGUCAUAUUGAUAAA